Molecule: unclassified non-coding RNA, 336 nt
Filed under: soil metagenome
Description: partial contains 5.8S ribosomal RNA, internal transcribed spacer 2, and large subunit ribosomal RNA
Rfam family: 5.8S ribosomal RNA (bases 1-120)
Source: RNAcentral
GAUGAAGAACGUAGCGAAAUGCGAUAAGUAGUGUGAAUUGCAGAAUUCAGUGAAUCAUCGAAUCUUUGAACGCACAUUGCGCCCCUUGGUAUUCCAUAGGGCAUGCCUGUUCGAGCGUCAUUUGUACCUUCAAGCUUUGCUUGGUGUUGGGUGUUUGUCUCGCCUUUGCGUGUAGACUCGCCUUAAAAUAAUUGGCAGCCGGCGUAUUGAUUUCGGAGCGCAGUACAUCUCGCGCUUUGCACUCAUAACGACAGCGUCCAAAAGUACAUUUUACACUCUUGACCUCGGAUCAGGUAGGGAUACCCGCUGAACUUAAGCAUAUCAAUAAGCGGAGGA